UACGGAGGGUGCGAGCGUUGUCCGGAAUCACUGGGCGUAAAGGGCGCGUAGGCGGUCUGCUAAGCGUGUGGUGAAAGCUCGGGGCUCAACCCCGAGUCGGCCAUGCGAACUGGUGGACUAGAGCACUGUAGAGGCAGGUGGAAUUCCGGGAGUAGCGGUGGAAUGCGUAGAGAUCCGGAAGAACACCGGUGGCGAAGGCGGCCUGCUGGGCAGUAGCUGACGCUGAGGCGCGAUAGCGUGGGGAGCAAACAGG
RNAcentral lists this ribosomal RNA (253 nucleotides) under uncultured bacterium. RNAcentral describes it as "partial 16S ribosomal RNA". It matches the Rfam family "Bacterial small subunit ribosomal RNA", at positions 524 to 776 of the family's 1533-position model. The record is from RNAcentral.